UACAGAGGUCUCAAGCGUUGUUCGGAUUCAUUGGGCGUAAAGGGUGUGUAGGUGGCGCGCUAAGUCGGGUGUGAAAUCUCGGGGCUCAACCCCGAAACUGCACUUGAUACUGCCUUGCUGGAGUACUGGAGAGGAGAUUGGAAUUUACGGUGUAGCAGUGAAAUGCGUAGAUAUCGUAAGGAAGACCAGUGGCGAAGGCGAAUCUCUGGACAGUUACUGACACUGAGGCACGAAGGCCAGGGGAGCAAACGGG
RNAcentral lists this ribosomal RNA (253 nucleotides) under uncultured bacterium. RNAcentral's name for it is "partial 16S ribosomal RNA". It matches the Rfam family "Bacterial small subunit ribosomal RNA", at positions 524 to 776 of the family's 1533-position model. The record is from RNAcentral.